This 465-nucleotide ribosomal RNA is filed under the name Vreelandella stevensii. RNAcentral describes it as "partial 16S ribosomal RNA". It matches the Rfam family "Bacterial small subunit ribosomal RNA", at positions 338 to 795 of the family's 1533-position model. The record is from RNAcentral. Lineage: Bacteria; Pseudomonadati; Pseudomonadota; Gammaproteobacteria; Oceanospirillales; Halomonadaceae.
CCUACGGGGGGCAGCAGUGGGGAAUAUUGGACAAUGGGGGGAACCCUGAUCCAGCCAUGCCGCGUGUGUGAAGAAGGCCCUCGGGUUGUAAAGCACUUUCAGUGAGGAAGAACGCCUGGUGGUUAAUACCCAUCAGGAAAGACAUCACUCACAGAAGAAGCACCGGCUAACUCCGUGCCAGCAGCCGCGGUAAUACGGAGGGUGCGAGCGUUAAUCGGAAUUACUGGGCGUAAAGCGCGCGUAGGUGGCUUGAUAAGCCGGUUGUGAAAGCCCCGGGCUCAACCUGGGAAUGGCAUCCGGAACUGUCAAGCUAGAGUGCAGGAGAGGAAGGUAGAAUUCCCGGUGUAGCGGUGAAAUGCGUAGAGAUCGGGAGGAAUACCAGUGGCGAAGGCGGCCUUCUGGACUGACACUGACACUGAGGUGCGAAAGCGUGGGUAGCAAACAGGAUUAGAUACCCCGGUAGUC